Molecule: non-coding RNA, 192 nt
Filed under: Clostridium ljungdahlii
Lineage: Bacteria; Bacillati; Bacillota; Clostridia; Eubacteriales; Clostridiaceae
Also listed under: 1 other name
Description: 6S RNA
Rfam family: 6S / SsrS RNA
About the family: E. coli 6S RNA was the first non coding RNA to be sequenced, but its function was unknown until recently.
Source: RNAcentral
AAAGAUCUGAGGUAUACGUAAGCUUUAGUUUUGAACCUACGUUAUGUAAACGGAAGUUCAAUAUUUAGAUGGGUACAUGAAGCCUACUUAUAAUUGUAAUUGAAAGUUUAGGAGGAUGGAGACAUCUGUGAGGACAUCCACCUAUUUUGGGAUAGGUGUCAAAGUAAAGUUAAACGGUAUUUUGGAUAAAAU